Molecule: small nuclear RNA, 162 nt
Organism: Molossus molossus (Pallas's mastiff bat)
Lineage: Eukaryota; Metazoa; Chordata; Mammalia; Chiroptera; Molossidae
Product: U1 spliceosomal RNA
Exons: 1
Source: RefSeq, a predicted model, not a curated record
AUACUUACCUGGCAGGGAGAUACCGUGAUCACGAAGGUGGUUUUCCCAGGGCGAGGCUUACCCAUUGCACUCUGGGUGUGCUGACCCCUGUGGUUCCCCAAAUGUGGGAAACCCCACUGCAUAAUUUGUGGUAGUGGGCGACUGCGUUAGCGAUUUCCCCUG